This 443-nucleotide ribosomal RNA is filed under the name uncultured bacterium. RNAcentral describes it as "partial 16S ribosomal RNA". It matches the Rfam family "Bacterial small subunit ribosomal RNA", at positions 338 to 795 of the family's 1533-position model. The record is from RNAcentral.
CCUACGGGAGGCUGCAGUAGGGAAUAUUGGGCAAUGGGCGCAAGCCUGACCCAGCAACGCCGCGUGAAUGAAGAAGGCUUUCGGGUUGUAAACUUCUGUUCUCAGGGACGAAGGAAGGGACGGGACCUGAGGAAUAAGCCACGGCUAACUAAUGGCCAGCAGCCGCGGUAUUACGUAGGAGGCAAGCGUUAGCCGGAUUGAUUGGGUGUAAAGGGCGUGUAGGCGGGAGCGCAAGGCAGAUGUGAAAACUCAGGGCUUAACCCUGGGCCUGCAUUUGAAACUGUGUUUCUUGAGUGCUGGAGAGGCAAUCGGAAUUCCGUGUGUAGCGGUGAAAUGCGUAGAUAUACGGAGGAACACCAGUGGCGAAGGCGGAUUGCUGGACAGUAACUGACGCUGAGGCGCGAAAGCGUGGGGAGCAAACAGGAUUAGAUACCCCUGUAGUC